ACACAACCAAGGGAGAAAACUAUUCUGUCAAAGAGACGGUGCCAAAAGGCAGAAACAAAGGAGAAUGUGGAAGAUGGCCGAGCAAGUAUCUAUCAAUCUGUCAUUACCAACACCAGCAAAGAAAUGUCCUGUUUCAGUGACUUUCCAAUGCCUGAAGAUUUUCCAAACUUCCUGCAUAAUUCUAAACUUCUGGAAUAUUUCAGGAUUUUUGCUAAAAAAUUUGAUCUGUUAAAAUAUAUUCAGUUCCAGGUAUCGAGAGGUUCAAAGGCCAAUAUUUCCAUAGCCGCCAAUACAAGCAUCCAGAUGGAUUUGAGGGAAAACGCAUCCUGGUGAUUGGAAUGGGAAACUCAGGCUCAGAUAUUGCUGUUGAGCUGAGUAAGAAUGCUGCUCAGGUUUUUAUCAGCACCAGGCAUGGCACCUGGGUCAUGAGCCGUAUCUCUGAAGAUGGCUAUCCUUGGGACUCAGUGUUCCACACCCGGUUUCGUUCUAUGCUCCGCAAUGUACUGCCACGAACAGC
RNAcentral lists this small RNA (517 nucleotides) under Pan troglodytes (chimpanzee). RNAcentral's name for it is "processed transcript". Lineage: Eukaryota; Metazoa; Chordata; Mammalia; Primates; Hominidae. The record is from RNAcentral.